RNAcentral lists this ribosomal RNA (108 nucleotides) under Heterocephalus glaber (naked mole-rat). The record is from RNAcentral. Lineage: Eukaryota; Metazoa; Chordata; Mammalia; Rodentia; Bathyergidae.
GUCUAUGGCCAUACCACUCUGAACACGCCCUAUCUCGUCUGACCUCAGAGGCUAAGCAGGGUCUGUCCUGGUUAGUACUUGAAUGGGAGAAUUAUGGUGCUCUUGAUA